This 1349-nucleotide ribosomal RNA is filed under the name uncultured organism. RNAcentral's name for it is "16S ribosomal RNA". It matches the Rfam family "Bacterial small subunit ribosomal RNA", at positions 90 to 1435 of the family's 1533-position model. The record is from RNAcentral.
GACGACCGGCGCACGGGUGAGUAACGCGUAUGGAACCUACCUGAAACAGGGGGAUAGCUUCCGGAAACGGGGAUUAAUACCCCAUACGAUUCAUUUGUGGCCUCACAAAUGGAUAACAAGCUACGGCGGUUUCAGAUGGUCAUGCGUACCAUUAGUUAAUUGGUGAGGUAAAGGCUCACCACGGCGAUGAUGGUAAGGGGUCCUGAGAGGGUAGUCCCCCAAACUGGUACUGAGACACGGACCAGACUCCUAGCGGGAGGCAGCAGUGAGGCAUCUUGGUCAAUGGGCGCAAGCCUGAACCAGCCAUGCCGAGUGCAGGAAGACGGACCUACCGGGUUGUAAACUGCUUUUCUGACACGCAGCAUAUAUAGUCUUAGGCCUAUAUUGACGGUACUGCAGGAAUAAGCAUCCGGCUAACUCCGGCCCAGCACCCCCGGUAAUACGGAGGAUGCCAAGCGUUAUCCGGAAUCAUGGGGUUUAAAGGGUGCGCAGGCUGUAAAGCAAGUCAGUGGUGAAAGCCCUGGGCUUAACUCAGGGAUUGCCAUUGAAACUGUUUUACUAGAGUGUAGUAGAGGACGGCGGAAUGAGUUGUGUAGCGGUGAAAUGCAUAGAUAUAACUCAGAACACCUAUUGCGUAGGCAGCUGUCUAUACUACAACUGACGCUGAGGCACGAAAGCGUGGGGAGCGAACAGGAUUAGAUACCCUGGUAGUCCACGCUGUAAACGAUGAUCACUCGUUGUUGGCUACUUAGUAGUCAGUGACCAAGGGAAACCGAUAAGUGAUCCACCUGGGGAGUACGUCGGCAACGAUGAAACUCAAAGGAAUUGACGGGGGCCCGCACAAGCGGAGGAACAUGUGGUUUAAUUCGAUGAUACGCGAGGAACCUUACCUGGGCUUAAAUGCUGGCUGCAUUGGAGGGAAACCUUCAUUUCCUACGGGACCGCCAGCAAGGUGCUGCAUGGUUGUCGUCAGCUCGUGCCGUGAGGUGUCGGGUUAAGUCCCAUAACGAGCGCAACCCCUAUCGCUAGUUGCCAGCAUGUAAUGGUGGGGACUCUAGCGAGACUGCCGGUGUAAACCGGAGGAAGGUGGGGAUGACGUCAAAUCAGCACGGCCCUUACGUCCAGGGCUACACACGUGUUACAAUGGCCGGUACAAAGAGCAGCCACCUGGCGACAGGGCGCUAAUCUCUAAAACCGGUCUCAGUUCGGAUCGAAGUCUGCAAUUCGACUUCGUGAAGGUGGAUUCGCUAGUAAUCGCGCAUCAGCCAUGGCGCGGUGAAUAAGUUCCCGGGCCUUGUACACACCGCCCGUCAAGCCAUGGAAGUCGGGGGUACCUGAAGUCCGUAACC